GACAGCAGCAGCCGCGGGAAUACGUAGGGUGCGAGCGUUAAUCGGAAUUACUGGGCGUAAAGCGUGCGCAGGCGGUUGUGUAAGACAGGUGUGAAAUCCCCGGGCUUAACCUGGGAACUGCGCUUGUGACUGCACAGCUAGAGUAUGGCAGAGGGGGGUGGAAUUCCACGUGUAGCAGUGAAAUGCGUAGAGAUGUGGAGGAACACCGAUGGCGAAGGCAGCCCCCUGGGCCAAUACUGACGCUCAUGCACGAAAGCGUGGGGAGCAAACAGGAUUAGAUACCCCUGUAGUCCCUGUCUCUUAUAC
RNAcentral lists this ribosomal RNA (306 nucleotides) under uncultured bacterium. RNAcentral describes it as "partial 16S ribosomal RNA". It matches the Rfam family "Bacterial small subunit ribosomal RNA", at positions 507 to 807 of the family's 1533-position model. The record is from RNAcentral.